GACGAACGCUGGCGGCGUGCUUAACACAUGCAAGUCGAACGGAAAGGCCCUGCUUUUGUGGGGUGCUCGAGUGGCGAACGGGUGAGUAACACGUGAGUAACCUGCCCUUGACUUUGGGAUAACUUCAGGAAACUGGGGCUAAUACCGGAUAGGAGCUCCUGCUGCAUGGUGGGGGUUGGAAAGUUUCGGCGGUUGGGGAUGGACUCGCGGCUUAUCAGCUUGUUGGUGGGGUAGUGGCUUACCAAGGCUUUGACGGGUAGCCGGCCUGAGAGGGUGACCGGCCACAUUGGGACUGAGAUACGGCCCAGACUCCUACGGGAGGCAGCAGUGGGGAAUAUUGCACAAUGGGCGGAAGCCUGAUGCAGCAACGCCGCGUGCGGGAUGACGGCCUUCGGGUUGUAAACCGCUUUCGCCUGUGACGAAGCGUGAGUGACGGUAAUGGGUAAAGAAGCACCGGCUAACUACGUGCCAGCAGCCGCGGUGAUACGUAGGGUGCGAGCGUUGUCCGGAUUUAUUGGGCGUAAAGGGCUCGUGGGUGGUUGAUCGCGUCGGAAGUGUAAUCUUGGGGCUUAACCCUGAGCGUGCUUUCGAUACGGGUUGACUUGAGGAAGGUAGGGGAGAAUGGAAUUCCUGGUGGAGCGGUGGAAUGCGCAGAUAUCAGGAGGAACACCAGUGGCGAAGGCGGUUCUCUGGGCCUUUCCUGACGCUGAGGAGCGAAAGCGUGGGGAGCGAACAGGCUUAGAUACCCUGGUAGUCCACGCUGUAAACGGUGGGUACUAGGUGUGGGGUCCAUUCCACGGGUUCCGUGCCGUAGCUAACGCUUUAAGUACCCCGCCUGGGGAGUACGGCCGCAAGGCUAAAACUCAAAGGAAUUGACGGGGCCCCGCACAAGCGGCGGAGCAUGCGGAUUAAUUCGAUGCAACGCGUAGAACCUUACCUGGGUUUGACAUGGAUCGGGAGUGCUCAGAGAUGGGUGUGCCUCUUUUGGGGUCGGUUCACAGGUGGUGCAUGGCUGUCGUCAGCUCGUGUCGUGAGAUGUUGGGUUAAGUCCCGCAACGAGCGCAACCCUUGUUCACUGUUGCCAGCACGUUAUGGUGGGGACUCAGUGGAGACCGCCGGGGUCAACUCGGAGGAAGGUGGGGAUGACGUCAAGUCAUCAUGCCCCUUAUGUCCAGGGCUUCACGCAUGCUACAAUGGCUGGUACAGAGAGUGGCGAGCCUGUGAGGGUGAGCGAAUCUCGGAAAGCCGGUCUCAGUUCGGAUUGGGGUCUGCAACUCGACCUCAUGAAGUCGGAGUCGCCAGUAAUCGCAGAUCAGCAACGCUGCGGUGAAUACGUUCCCGGG
Molecule: ribosomal RNA, 1343 nt
Filed under: uncultured bacterium
Lineage: Bacteria
Description: 16S ribosomal RNA
Rfam family: Bacterial small subunit ribosomal RNA
Source: RNAcentral